This 497-nucleotide ribosomal RNA is filed under the name uncultured bacterium. RNAcentral describes it as "partial 16S ribosomal RNA". It matches the Rfam family "Bacterial small subunit ribosomal RNA", at positions 28 to 507 of the family's 1533-position model. The record is from RNAcentral.
GAUGAACGCUGGCGGCGUGCCUAAUACAUGCAAGUCGAGCGAACAGAUGAGGGGCUUGCUCCUCUGACGUUAGCGGCGGACGGGUGAGUAACACGUGGAUAACCUACCUAUAAGACUGGGAUAACUUCGGGAAACCGGAGCUAAUACCGGAUAAUAUAUUGAACCGCAUGGUUCAAUAGUGAAAGACGGUUUUGCUGUCACUUAUAGAUGGAUCCGCGCCGCAUUAGCUAGUUGGUAAGGUAACGGCUUACCAAGGCAACGAUGCGUAGCCGACCUGAGAGGGUGAUCGGCCACACUGGAACUGAGACACGGUCCAGACUCCUACGGGAGGCAGCAGUAGGGAUUCUUCCGCAAUGGGCGAAAGCCUGACGGAGCAACGCCGCGUGAGUGAUGAAGGUCUUCGGAUCGUAAAACUCUGUUAUUAGGGAAGAACAAAUGUGUAAGUAACUAUGCACGUCUUGACGGUACCUAAUCAGAAAGCCACGGCUAACUACGUG